UUUGACAUUGGCCAUGUUAUCUUGGACAUGAUGACACUAUACCCUGAUCCAUUUUACUGAGACGGUGACCUUUCAUUUGCCCUCCUUAUCUCUCGAAUCAUGGAGGAUAUCGAAUUUGAGAUCGAUCCUACUUUGGUGGUUUAGUCUUCUCAUGUCUUCUUGGAUGAGAACUCUUGGGCUAAGCACUAUAGCUAUGUGUAUGAUCCUAUAACACCCCCUACUCCUUAU
RNAcentral lists this long non-coding RNA (228 nucleotides) under Vitis vinifera (wine grape). RNAcentral's name for it is "long non-coding RNA (VVIN_LNC000742)". The record is from RNAcentral. Lineage: Eukaryota; Viridiplantae; Streptophyta; Magnoliopsida; Vitales; Vitaceae.